RNAcentral lists this long non-coding RNA (335 nucleotides) under Brassica napus (rape). RNAcentral describes it as "long non-coding RNA (BNAP_LNC007642)". Lineage: Eukaryota; Viridiplantae; Streptophyta; Magnoliopsida; Brassicales; Brassicaceae. The record is from RNAcentral.
AUGUAUAAAAAACAAAAGAAAAUUAAAAAUUCAGACAAAAUAACUGCUGCCAAACUGCAACCUUCAGAAGUCUUCGUUUGCAAUCCUAUUAUGAGCAAUAGAAAAGAGAUCAUGUAAAAAUUUUAAAAAUAUUAUUUAACAAAAUCUGUAAAUGCAUGUAUUACCUCAAUCGUAAAGCAUCAAUUUCUGGAACACCAAUGGGGUCGAAAACAAUUUUGGAAAUCCCAUCAAUGUUAGUAACCCUCUUAAGUCGGCCUUAUUAGCAAAUUCAGAAAAAUAUUAGGAAAAUAUACAUAUAAUAUCAGCUCCUAUUAACCUAUUAUAUAUACAAUAAA